GAGUUUGAUCCUGGCUCAGAUUGAACGCUGGCGGCAUGCCUUACACAUGCAAGUCGAACGGCAGCACGGGAGCUUGCUCCUGGUGGCGAGUGGCGAACGGGUGAGUAAUGCAUCGGAACGUAUCCUGGAGUGGGGGAUAACGUAGCGAAAGUUACGCUAAUACCGCAUAUUCUGUGAGCAGGAAAGCGGGGGACCUUCGGGCCUCGCGCUCUUGGAGCGGCCGAUGUCGGAUUAGCUAGUUGGUGAGGUAAAGGCUCACCAAGGCGACGAUCCGUAGCAGGUCUGAGAGGAUGAUCUGCCACACUGGAACUGAGACACGGUCCAGACUCCUACGGAGGCAGCAGUGGGAAUUUUGGACAAUGGGGGCAACCCUGAUCCAGCCAUGCCGCGUGAGUGAAGAAGG
RNAcentral lists this ribosomal RNA (403 nucleotides) under bacterium enrichment culture clone ALO1_GLFRUDD03HGMOA. Its description in RNAcentral is "bacterial SSU rRNA". It matches the Rfam family "Bacterial small subunit ribosomal RNA", at positions 9 to 414 of the family's 1533-position model. The record is from RNAcentral.